Molecule: ribosomal RNA, 433 nt
Filed under: uncultured bacterium
Lineage: Bacteria
Description: partial 16S ribosomal RNA
Rfam family: Bacterial small subunit ribosomal RNA
Source: RNAcentral
AACGAACGCUGGCGGCAUGCCUAACACAUGCAAGUCGAACGAGACCUUCGGGUCUAGUGGCGCACGGGUGCGUAACGCGUGGGAACCUGCCCUUGGGUUCGGAAUACCUCCCCGAAGGGGGUCCUAAUACCGGUUAAUGUCUUCGGCCCAAAGAUUUAUCGCUUUUGGAUGGGCCCGCGUUGGAUUAGCUAGUUGGUAGGGUAAAAGCCUACCAAGGCGACGAUCCUUAGCUGGUCUGAGAGGAUGAUCAGCCACACUGGGACUGAGACACGGACCAGAAUCCUACGGGAGGGAGCAGUGGGGAAUAUUGGACAAUGGGCGAAAGCCUGAUCAAGCAAUGCCGCGUGAGUGAUGAAGGCCUUAGGGUUGUAAAGCUCUUUUACCCGGGAUGAUAAUGACAGUACCGGGAGAAUAAGCUCCGGCUAACUCCGUG